UCGGCUCGAAAAAAUCAACACCACACCACUACCUCUACCCCUUAUCUCUUUCCCCUCCCGAUCUGAGCGGCGGCGGCGGCGAUGACGUUGACGCUCGCAUUCGGCGACGCUUCCCGCACUCUGUCCAUCUCUUCCUUCCCACCACUCCAUCACCAUCCCCACAUCGCUGCUGUUUUCCCAUGUGGAGGUGGUCCUGUCGCGCCGAUGCUCUCACCCAGCUGCCGUCGGCGGCACUUCUUGUUCGUGCCCAGGCGCCCGUUGCGGUCAUCUCUCCCCUCGCUCCCAUGGAGCCACUGCCCCAACCUAUACCCAACUCCCUCUCCCCCCUCCCAUGGUAGCAGAUCUGAGCGGGACAAGGUCCCUUCGGUCCUGGUGGUUCGGAACGAGGCAGGCGGCUUCUGCUCCCUUAUCUUCUGGCGACUAGGAGUGUGGCCGGUUGGUGCCCCCAUCUCUCUUAGACAUCCAUGGCAGCAACAACAUCCGGUGAAACGAACUUGAAUAGGUUUGGUGGAUGUUUGGGCAAUUACUCAACUAGGAGCACUAACUAAAACAGAAGGCCACUGAAACUUUAGUAGAUUUUUGUGGUUCCAGUGUAAGUAUUUAUUUUAUUGUUUCAGCAUUAUACAUGAUUAACGCUUUGAUAGUAAGUGUAUGAAUACAUGAUUGAUGUACAUUAAUCCAUGAUUAUUUUCUUUGGGAGAUUUUCUGGAGAUUUUCUGAAGUUGUAAGUCUGUACCUAACCAACUGAAUAUUAUAGAUGCAUUUGUUACUUUUACUUGACAGCAUUGACACUCUGAAGAUUGUAGGGCUCAAUCGACACAUGGUGUGUCAGCAUUUGCCUAUUUACCUCAAGGGCCUGCCAAGAGUGUUGCCAAUACCAGCGUGCUUUUUGCUACAGAAAUGGAUUUUUGAACACUUGUAGCACAUGGUGUCCUGGGAAUCCUGGCUAUGUAAAUUUCACCUGCUAGCUCAUUAUCAGGGGAAGUGUUGGUCAUGCUAGUGUGCAUACUCACUUGGGAAGAAAUGGAAGUAGGAGAGAGCAUAUCAUCCAAUACUAAGGAUUUCAAUUAUCAUGGUGUAUUCAAGUCAAAGCUAAAUAGUAGUCUACAUCCGCCUACCUUGGCAAGGAUACCAGGAACACUAUAUGCUCAGCAAUCGUACAAAGUAAAUGAUGCAUUUCCUUCCAAAUGGAUAUACAAAAAGUUGAUUGAGGGUUUUUAUGCCACAUCCAUGGUUACUGCUGGAAGUCGAUUGGCAGUCUUCAUGUACCGAUAUGCUAUUUUUAUAGAUUAGGAAGCAAACACAAGGAUGGACUCACUAUGAACCAUGAAGCCAGCGAUCCACAUCAACUGGAUGUUUUAGCUCUCAUUUUGUAUAUCUGAUGUAUCAUAGUUGCAUCUUCUAGCUGUCCUUCUGUGAACCUGAUGUAUGGUGUCUUGACGGUUAUGUCUAGAACAAAGUGAAGUGUAUGUACGUGACAUGGUGUCUUGAUUGUUAUGUCUAGAACAGACUGAAAUGUAUGUAUGUGACAGUUAGUUAAAUGGAAUAAAAAAUGGUUGGUGGACCUGA
This is a long non-coding RNA of Triticum aestivum (bread wheat), 1569 nucleotides long. RefSeq lists it as uncharacterized. The transcript is spliced from 6 exons. NCBI's taxonomy places the organism in Eukaryota, Viridiplantae, Streptophyta, Magnoliopsida, Poales, Poaceae. The record is from RefSeq and is a predicted model, not a curated record.